RNAcentral lists this ribosomal RNA (582 nucleotides) under proteobacterium RDB-189. Its description in RNAcentral is "bacterial SSU rRNA". It matches the Rfam family "Bacterial small subunit ribosomal RNA", at positions 102 to 680 of the family's 1533-position model. Lineage: Bacteria; Pseudomonadati; Pseudomonadota. The record is from RNAcentral.
ACGGGUGAGUAAUAUAUCGGAACGUGCCCAGUUGUGGGGGAUAGCCCGGCGAAAGCCGGAUUAAUACCGCAUACGACCUGAGGGUGAAAGCGGGGGAUCGCAAGACCUCGCGCAAUUGGAGCGGCCGAUAUCAGAUUAGCUAGUUGGUGGGGUAAAGGCCUACCAAGGCGACGAUCUGUAGCUGGUCUGAGAGGACGACCAGCCACACUGGGACUGAGACACGGCCCAGACUCCUACGGGAGGCAGCAGUGGGGAAUUUUGGACAAUGGGCGCAAGCCUGAUCCAGCCAUGCCGCGUGCGGGAAGAAGGCCUUCGGGUUGUAAACCGCUUUUGUCAGGGAAGAAACGGUCUGAACUAAUACUUUGGACUAAUGACGGUACCUGAAGAAUAAGCACCGGCUAACUACGUGCCAGCAGCCGCGGUAAUACGUAGGGUGCAAGCGUUAAUCGGAAUUACUGGGCGUAAAGCGUGCGCAGGCGGCUAUGCAAGACAGAUGUGAAAUCCCCGGGCUCAACCUGGGAACUGCAUUUGUGACUGCAUGGCUCGAGUACGGUAGAGGGGGAUGGAAUUCCGCGUGUAGCA